AGAGGAGACCGGUGGAUUCUUCACUGGAGAAACGGAGCAGAAAAAAGAUUUUUAGAUAUUGAAAGGGAUAUCUGACAAACUGGAGAGAAGAGAUUCACAGAAUAAUAGAAUAAAAUUAAGUUCCCAGAGUGAAAAGGCCUACAAAAGGAAGUUACUAAAGGAUGUGUGCCAUCAAAAUGAAGAAUGAAAUCAAGGAAGAUAAAGAUGUGGGGCCAGGAAAAGAAGAUCCACCCAGAAAAAUUACAAAAGGAAUCCCCUGAACACUGCUGUGCAGAAGGCCCAGAGGGUAUAUCAGAGAGUGGGGACGUAGCAGAGGAGUGCUAUGGAGCAGGAAUCAGAUUAAAGAGCCCUGAUCAAGUGGACUUACCAGCUUUCCUUGGAUCAAAGCCUGAAGGGUGAUGAGGAAGCUAGUAUGGCCAGUAUGAAGACUGAAUUGUGGAUGUCAGAAACUAAUCAUGGAAUAUUUCAGCUUUUUCCAGGGUGGCUGCAAGAUAUAAAGGAAUGGCUGUGUGUUUUCUUAUUUUAAAAAAUGAGUAAUACUGAACAUUGUAAAACAGACAAACAAUACAGAUGUAUAUAAAAUAAAAA
This is a long non-coding RNA of Eptesicus fuscus (big brown bat), 588 nucleotides long. RefSeq lists it as uncharacterized. NCBI's taxonomy places the organism in Eukaryota, Metazoa, Chordata, Mammalia, Chiroptera, Vespertilionidae. The record is from RefSeq and is a predicted model, not a curated record. The transcript has 4 exons.